AUGGCAGAAGUUUCAGCUCUCAAAUUUGGUCUAACACUGGUGCAGAGGGCGGGAUGUAAUCGCCUUAUUAUUUAGUCGGGCAAUCUGGAGGUGAUUGAUACCAUGCAGAACGGAGGACGGUCGGCGGGCACGGCAGCGGUGAUUUUAAAUGAUUGUUUUCAUUAUGCCAGUGAUUUCAUUAGUACUAGAUUUGAACAUUGUAAUAGAGAAGCAAAUAAAGUAGUUCAUGAGCUCGCUAGAUUAGCUAGAUUUUCUGUGACCUCGGAUUGGUUUGAAGAGCCUUCAAAUGAAAUUGUAAUGAUUCUCACAGAUGAUGUACUGGUUAUUUCUAAUGAAUAA
RNAcentral lists this ribosomal RNA (339 nucleotides) under Triticum aestivum (bread wheat). RNAcentral's name for it is "partial small subunit ribosomal RNA". The record is from RNAcentral. Lineage: Eukaryota; Viridiplantae; Streptophyta; Magnoliopsida; Poales; Poaceae.